Molecule: ribosomal RNA, 545 nt
Filed under: Providencia rettgeri
Lineage: Bacteria; Pseudomonadati; Pseudomonadota; Gammaproteobacteria; Enterobacterales; Morganellaceae
Description: partial 23S ribosomal RNA
Rfam family: Bacterial large subunit ribosomal RNA
Source: RNAcentral
GGUUAAGCGACUAAGCGUACACGGUGGAUGCCUAGGCAAUCAGAGGCGAUGAAGGACGUGCUAAUCUGCGAUAAGCGUCGGUAAGGUGAUAUGAACCGUUACAACCGACGAUUUCCGAAUGGGGAAACCCAGUGCAAUUCGUUGCACUAUCGUUUGAUGAAUACAUAGUCAAACGAAGCGAACCGGGGGAACUGAAACAUCUCAGUACCCCGAGGAAAAGAAAUCAACCGAGAUUCCCCUAGUAGCGGCGAGCGAACGGGGAGCAGCCCAGAGUCUUAAUCAGCAUUAGCAUCAGGAGAACGGUCUGGAAAGUCCGGCAGUAAAGGGUGAUAGCCCCGUAUCCGAAGGUGUUAGUGUUGUGAACUCGACGAGUAGGGCGGGACACGUGUUAUCCUGUCUGAAUAUGGGGGGACCAUCCUCCAAGGCUAAAUACUCCUGAUUGACCGAUAGUGAACCAGUACCGUGAGGGAAAGGCGAAAAGAACCCCGGCGAGGGGAGUGAAAUAGAACCUGAAACCGUGUACGUACAAGCAGUGGGAGCCCCAU